GCGACGUGACCCUGGUGCUGCGGUCGCUGCGUAUACCUCUCAUAGGCAGCAGAGAACACUCAGGUCGAGGACGCUAUCGUAACCGCGACGCUUGCCUCUGUUCCCUGCCCCGAUACCUCGACCCCUGCCCUUGCCCCGGUGCCACCCACCGACAGAGGGACGCCUGCGUCCCCCACCACCACUGCGACUGGUUCCUGUGUCGCUUCCCCAGGGCCUGGACUCCAUUCUUGCCUGCGUGCCUCAGGACGGAAACCCCUUCCCAACCCUGCCCAUCGGGACCGCGACCCCUAUCCUGGACCCUCGCGCCUUUGGCGAUGGCGACCUUGGCCCUGAGUCCCCUCCCCGCCCCCAGCGAGGCCCUGGGUCUGGAAGACUGGCUUUUGCAAGUGAGGAAUGUGGAUGAAGGGUUGGAUCAGAGAAACUAAAGGUGUUUUCAGUAGCUCCUGAGCGGGGUCCACGAAAACUCCGUGCGAUUUCAACGAGAAUGGAAAGACUCUUCCAAAACAAGAAUGUCUUACCCUCCCUUAUCAAUUUUAGGGGGGAAACCACAAAGCAUUUCCUUUAAGCUUAUUCCCUGGUUUUCUGUAUCCUUGCUGUUGAUGAUAUAUAUCAUACAUGAAUUAUUUCGAAUUUUGUGGUCUCCCUCCCCCGUCCCCAUUAAAAAGGCGUUGGGCUAAGGGAAUGUGACUUAAUACUAGAGUGCUUGCCUAGCCAUGGGUUCCCCCCUCAAGCACGGGGGUGGGGGGGGCGGUAGACUAUUUUGGAUUUAAGCUUUGGGUUCUGCCCCUAGCAUGGUGGAGGGUUUGGGUAUGUCUAUUCGUGGUCUUAUUUACCUGUGCUGCUUGUUCCUUCCUAUCCAUAAUGUUCAAAUUCUGACAGGUCUACAUUUUGGAAGAAAGCCUCCUGGACUCCUCCAAGAUGUGUAAUGUGUAAUGCCAUCCUUAUCAAUGUCUUCUCCUUUGUAAUACCUGUCACAUCCGAAAAAAAUCGUAAAUUAAAUAUUCAUAGCUAUAUUUUUACAGAUAAUAAUCACCUAAGAUUGAGUUUUCCUCUAAUAUUGAAAGCAUAUAUGAUAAUUCAGGAGAAAAAAAUGAAUUAAAACAUUUCUCCCUCUCCCUAGUAUGUUUGCCUUCUGUUACUAUCCAUCAUUCAUAGUGCCAACAAGCAUUUCCUUAAAAAUUUUGUCACCACCUUUUCAUUAAAGGCCUUCACUGGUUCCUUGUUUGUUUGUUUGUUUUUUGUUUUGUUUUGUUUUGUUUUCCCUACAGGUAAAACCAACUCUCUUUCAUGGAAAGAAGGCCCUUCACAAAACAAGUCCUAGCCUGUCUUCCAUCCACCUAGUCACUUACCUUUCCUACUCUGUGGGGUUAGACAUCAUAACUUUCCGAUCACCUUCAUGUAUCAAACAUGUUUUAGGACAUUGGAUGCAACCAUUUAAGUGAAUCUAUGAAUCACCACUGGUUACAACGUGCUGUUGGUGAAAUGCUGAACUAAAGAAUGAGAACAAAGUUAAUUCUUUUGAUUUUCACACAGCUCAUUGGACUCUGUGCUUCUCCAAAGAAUUUGGAACAGCAUAAUUAAAACAAGCACCAAGACAUUGGAUCCAUGAUUUCACCUCUAGCUCCUGGCACAGUAUACUUUGGAACAUGUGCCAUCCCUCUCAAGAGAAGUGGAUGAUGUGAGGUACUACAAGAGGUAGACUGAUCGGCAUUCUUGGGCUCCAACCACAGCAAAGGGAACACAGUGACUUCUGGACUUAGGGUCCCAAACCCUAGCCCCUCAUAUCAGCCUACUCCCGCUGCACCCUGUCAUCCUGUAUCCCCUGCCUCUGACCCUGCCUGGGUCCCUGCACUCCUCCCAGGACUGCAGCUAGUGAUGAAUCUGCAGCAUGGGUGCCAGGAAAACUAUGGGGUUGACGAUCCCUGAGUAAACUGCCAGAAUCUUCUUCCUGGUCCUCAGUCUCUCACGGGGUUAGAGACACUUAUUUCUUUCCUAAAAUGCUCCCUUUUCCCUUGGUUUUGAUGCUGACCAAGCAAUGUUGGUAACUGGUAAACUUCCAAAAUUGUACUUCUCAGGUGAUAUUUUUGCUCCUAAGAUUCUCUGAGAACUGUGACUCAGGUCAUUCUCUUUUCAGUCAAAUAUUUUACUGCCCAAGCAAUGUGUUUCUUUACCUGUUGCCUGGGCCUGAUAGUUUGUUUUGUUUUCUAACCCCAUGGAUUUAAAAGAUCUUUUCCAGGCUGCCUGACUUCAAAAUCGGAAGAGCUUAAUACUCUGCUUUAAGUUGUAGCAGGAAAUGAACAAAGUAAAUACUACCCUGCUAACUGGAAUCACUUGAAACUGCACUGUUAAUUUUUUUAAAAAACAUAAUCCUUUGAAAACCCUGGCCUGAUGGAAAAUGUGUGAGGCUUCUUGGAACCCAUGGGCCUCAAUUUCUCUCUCUUUAAUUCCACCUGACGUAGACUGCUCCUGGCCUGCUGAGAAUUCUCUCCUUCCCUACCCUGGUCCCUGAAACAUGUGUCUUCCACUUUGUAUAUACUGGUGCCUGCCAAGCAGCCAUGGGAGGGAGUGUGGCACACACACACCCCUCUGUGGGAGAGAAGGCUCCAGGCCAGGUUUCUGGUCUACCCACCAAACUGACGCCUUCUUUGUACAACUGCUCUGGGAGCUGACUCAGACUACCUCUCUGCUCUGGAACUGUUAAUGACCCCAUGAACCUUGAGAGAUUAAAUCAAAUUAUACAUGCGCCAACCCCUGAAGCUAGAUGUAAAUGGCAGCUUGGAGCUUGAUUUGCACCACAAACUACAAACUACAGAGUUCUGUUACCAGAGUGCUUAUUGGGCUCCAGUCUAUGUGCCCAAGGCUACACCUACAUCCAAGAGACCUGAGCAGAGUCUCACUGGGGAAAAGCUUAACUUAUAAUUUUGUUCAGCCUAAACUCAGGGUGGCGAGAAAAUUUUACAUGCACUCUCCAUUUGGGAAGUAAGCAAGGGGAAAAAGAAAUGGGGCUCUAAUGUAGACACAUAUUGGAAGAAAAGUGUGAUAUUUUCAAAAUCCUGAUGUCUACAUUUCUGAUCUAGUCCAUAGCCUAAAAUGUGGUCUGUUUUGCCCCUUUCCGUUCUGUCAUUCUGUAAAAGAAAUAAACUCUAAAUUAAGCCUAAACCCAAACUUACAACCCUCCUCACUAUUCAUAAACAUUUUUGACAAUGGGAGAGUAGAUGUUGGCCUUUCAGGGAGUCUGGAACAGCCCCUGGCCCUUCUCCUAACUAUCUUCUAAUGCUGCCCUCUCCCUUCCCCUUGGUUCAGACCCUCUUGAUUCUUGGCAGCUAUUGUUGCAUUUUGACUAGGGUGUUUCCCCCCUUUUCUUGAUAUAAUUUGUACUGGAUUCUUCUGAUUAUAAAAAUAAUGCAUAAGUGUUUGUUGCCAUUAAUGUGAAAAAUAUAGAUAUACUCAAAGUGGAAAAUAGAAAUUUUCCAUAUCCUCAUCCCCAAGAAAUAUGUACUAUUUGGUUGGUAUAAGUCCUUCUAAUGAUAUGGGUGUUUCUAAAGGGGCAUUCCAAUGUAGAGAUAAUGCUUCAUAAAAUGGAUUUUCCUCUUUCUGUAUGAAAAUUACCAUUCCAUGUCAGUAAAUAGUCUGCAAAGUCUGCAGAGUAGGCCAAAUUCUGCAUGGACCAUAAUUCAAUAAAACAAUCUAUUUUCUAAGACAUUGGCAUUUCUUCAGAACACUUAGCCAUUAUAAAUAAUGCUAUAAUGAGUGUCCUUAUAAAUAUACCUUUGUACAUACUCAUAAUUACUUACACAAGGAACAUUCCUGGGAGUCAAAUGACCAGGUUAUAAGUUAUGCAGCAAACGAAAUCAUUGAUGUGUCUCCAUUCAGUAUGCUUUGGGAAAGUUGCACUUAUUAAGAUCUAACCAAUUUUUAAAGUACCCUUUUCCUUGAGCUUCCUUCCUAAAAUAUGAAGCGUGAUCAUGCUGUGUAAUCUUUGUAGCCUGAAAAGGAAGAAAAGUAUCUCAAAGUUUUAAUUGGCAAUUUUAUGAUUACUGUGGAUGAUGAAUGUUUUUAGAUACUUAUCUGAAUUGCUUAUUCAUGUAUUUUGCCCGUUUUCCUAUUGUGCUGGAGUUAUUUGUAUGUGGAAAAUAUUAACACUACAGAAAAAAAAUUACAUAGAGGAUGGAGCCCUUAUUCAAAGUCCAGAAAAUAGGAGACGUUGCAGUGUUGAAAAAGGAGGAAAGGAAAGUCUCAUUAUGGACCCAAUAGAUCUGUGAUACCCAUGAUUAUCCUGCUGGGGAAGAUGCCUUUCUAAUUCUGAAACUCAGGUAAGAAAUCUGGAUUGGAGAUAAAAAUUAUAAGUAACUCAUAUAUAGAUAGUCCUGAAACUGUGGUGUUAUGGUUUGGAUGUGGCGUUCCUCUGAAAGCUUAUGAGUGAGAGAAGGCAUAGAGGUGGAAUGAUUGGGUUAUGAGAGACUUAACCCAUUCUGUUAAUUAAUCCCCUGACAAGGAUUAACUGAGUGGUAACAGAAGGCA
This is a non-coding RNA of Ictidomys tridecemlineatus (thirteen-lined ground squirrel), 4521 nucleotides long. NCBI's taxonomy places the organism in Eukaryota, Metazoa, Chordata, Mammalia, Rodentia, Sciuridae. The record is from RefSeq and is a predicted model, not a curated record.